This 70-nucleotide transfer RNA is filed under the name Camelus bactrianus (Bactrian camel). It matches the Rfam family "tRNA". From Rfam's summary of the family: Transfer RNA (tRNA) molecules are approximately 80 nucleotides in length. Their secondary structure includes four short double-helical elements and three loops (D, anti-codon, and T loops). The record is from Rfam by way of RNAcentral. Lineage: Eukaryota; Metazoa; Chordata; Mammalia; Artiodactyla; Camelidae. RNAcentral also lists the same sequence under 2 other names.
GGAUAUAGUUCAGUGGUAGAGCACAUGCUUAGCCUGCAUGAGGUCCUGGGUUCAAUCCCCAGUACUGCCA